GUGAAUCAUCAAAUUUUUGAACGCAAAUUGCACUCUCCUCUGAGAUUGGGCCUGUUUGAGGGUCAGCCUAUAAAAAUCGACAUCGUUGCUGUUUCUUUGUGGCGUUCGUCGGACAUUGGGUCAUCUUAUAUCCUUUUGAUUUCAGCGACUUACAAUUUUCUUUUGGUUCCAUGAACGUUUCUUGGUUCUCUUUCUUUACACGUUGAAGGUCUCGAUUUUUACUAGACUUGCCCCUCAUCUCGGAUCGCGUCCCUACUCUUUCCUUCACUUCC
This 272-nucleotide unclassified non-coding RNA is filed under the name Glomus sp. RNAcentral's name for it is "partial internal transcribed spacer 2". Lineage: Eukaryota; Fungi; Glomeromycota; Glomeromycetes; Glomerales; Glomeraceae. The record is from RNAcentral.